RNAcentral lists this ribosomal RNA (253 nucleotides) under uncultured bacterium. Its description in RNAcentral is "partial 16S ribosomal RNA". It matches the Rfam family "Bacterial small subunit ribosomal RNA", at positions 524 to 776 of the family's 1533-position model. The record is from RNAcentral.
UACAGGGGGGGCAAGCGUUGUUCGGAAUUACUGGGCGUAAAGGGCGCGUAGGCGGAAUGGCAAGUCGGUCGUGAAAUCCUUCGGCUCAACCGAAGAACGUCGAUCGAAACUGCCGUUCUUGAGGAUUGCAGAGGAGACUGGAAUUCCCGGUGUAGCGGUGAAAUGUGUAGAGAUCGGGAGGAACACCGGUGGCGAAGGCGGGUCUCUGGGCAAUUCCUGACGCUGAGGCGCGAAAGCGUGGGGAGCAAACGGG